GACGAACGCUGGCGGCGUGCUUAACACAUGCAAGUCGAACGAAGUGGCGCACGGGUGAGUAACGCGUAAUCAACCUGCCCUUCAGAGGGGGACAACAGUUGGAAACGACUGCUAAUACCGAAUACUGAAGGUGGGGAUUGCGGCUGCUUAGCUAGUUGGAGGGGUAACGGCCCACCAAGGCGAACAUCAGUAGGCGGGCUGGGGGGAAGAACGGCCAAAAUGGGACUUAGACAAGGCCCAGAAUCCUAAGGGAGGCAGCAGUGGGGAAUCUUUCGAAAUGGAGGAAAGUCUUACGGAGGAACGCCGCGGGGGUGAUGACGGCCUUCGGGUUGUAAAGCUCUGUUAAGCGGGGAGCGGUACCGGAAGAGAAAGCCACGGCUAACUACGUGCCAGCAGCCGCGGUAAUUC
Molecule: ribosomal RNA, 408 nt
Filed under: uncultured bacterium
Lineage: Bacteria
Description: partial 16S ribosomal RNA
Rfam family: Bacterial small subunit ribosomal RNA
Source: RNAcentral